Chelonia mydas (Green sea turtle) is the source of this 2209-nucleotide non-coding RNA. Lineage: Eukaryota; Metazoa; Chordata; Testudines; Cheloniidae. The record is from the annotation of a RefSeq genome assembly.
UUAGGUCAGCCUCAGAUUUACAUUCUUUUAUAUAGAGCGGGUUUAUUAUGUUGCUAAAAUUCUUCCAAGAUCCAUUCUAAACCUUUGCCUCCUUUUAACAUCCAGAAGCAAAGAUGCAAAAAAGCAGCAACAGGAUUUUGCAAAUGCAUUUGAUGUGGCUCCUCUUUGCCUGGUUUGAAGAAUCCAGCAGGCAGAUUGUUAUCACUCAGACACCUGCUUCUGUGACGGUGCUUCCAGGAGAGACUGUCACCAUUCAGUGCAAGGCAUCCAGCUCCAUGGGUGAUGAUAUGGAAUUAUAUCAGUUCAAAUCAAUACGAGCUCCCAAUCUCCUUAUUCAUACUGCAAACAACCGUUUCACUGGGGUCCCGGAUCGAUUCAGUGGUCGAUACAGCGGCACUGACUUCACAUUCACCUUUGGUGGGGUGCAGGCUGAUGAUGAAGGUGAAUACUACUGUGGACAGCAGUACAGCACCCCAUUCACGGUGAUACAAUGCAAUACAAUUGGUUAAACCACCAACAAGCUCACGGUGUGAAAGGUGGGAAGUAUCUUUGCCUGUGACUAUACCAGUUUAUAGGGAAAUUUUAACUAGAGAAUAAUUAUUAUAGAAGAAUUUUAUGGGUCUUUUGGAGAUUAGUGCCCCAUACAGUCGUUUUGGUGAAAAAUAACUUUUUCAGUACCUAAAUUACCCAUUAGCAGAAGGAAAGACUGAGAUUCACUUCCCUGCAUAUCAUCAGAGAAUUUAUGUGAGGCCAGAUGGAGAAGUCCCCAGCUCCCAUUUUGACAGCCCAAUAAGUGGACAGUAGAAUUGGUUUAAAAAAUUGGGGGGGGAGGGGGUUUCCAAUGCAAUUUCAAUGAAAAUUUCAUCAGAAAUCCUUCAGUAUCCCAGGAUAUAUUGACCAUUCACACUGUGGCUGGUGUUCCAAACCCUGCCAUAAAUGGAUGUCAGUUUAUCAGAAUACUUUGGUAUUCUAGAACCAGAACCAGAUUUCUACUUAAUUAGUGCCAUGAACAUCACUCCAUAAACAUGAGCAUAUUUCUCUUGUUAGUGCUACUCCUACUUCAGGACACUGAGACUUGUAUGCAUCUGUGCCCUCUUAAUAAUAAAGCCCUGAUGAAGCACCCAGGAAGCCUGUUGAAUAUAGUUGAGCCCAGCCUCAGAUUUACAUGUGUGACCACAAAUACGUCUUACAUUUUUUCCCCAGUAAUUAUAAACCGUGGCUGCAUUUUAGCUAUUUGUGUUGAGAAAUUAAUCUAGAAGGAAAAUGAUUUUGCAAAUGUAUUUGAGUUAACUCCUCUUUUCCUUCUUGGAAGGUCAGCUGUGCAGAUUUCUAGGUUCUUCAUCUUUAAAUCAGUCCCCUCAAAAUAAUGUUCAUUAAAAAUCUGUUCCUAGAAUCCAGUGUGCAGAUUGUUAUCGCUCAGACACCUGCUUGUGACAGUGCUUCCAGGAGAGAGAGUCACCCUUCAGCGCAAGGCUUCAUGUUCCAUGAGGGAUGAUCUGAAUUUAUAUUUGUUGAAAUCAGGACAGACUCCCAAACUCCUCAAACAUGAUGCAACUGUUUGAUUCAGUGUUAGAUACAGGGGCACUGACUUCACAUUCACUAUUAGUAGGGUUCAGGCUGAUGAUGCAGGUGAAUACUACUGUGGACAGGACUAUGACACCCUGCUCACAGUGAGACAAUUCAACACAAAAACUUCUUCACUGUCACAACCCUUUUGCAGUGAAGCAGAAGGAUACAGCUGUGCAUGUUUCUAGAUUAAUAUACUUGGAAAGUUUCAUUUGAGGAUAAUAAUUACAAUGUCACACUUCCAUUGUAAUCAGGUUUAUGGAUUUGUUCCUCUUACAGACAUUUUUGGAUAAAAUUAAUUGUGUUCCACCUGCCAAGCCCACAAUCACACAGUCCCAUGACUUUCUAUAAAUGGAAUCUGAUUGCCUUCCCCCCCCCCACAAAAAAAUAAAUCUCAAUGCAUUUUUCAGGAACACCUCAAAUGAAUUCUCUGUCUAUACCAUCACCAUUACGAUGUGCAGGCUGAAGAUGCGGGAGAAUACUAUUGUGAACAUGACUAGGGUUCUGAUUUCACACAGUGAUACAGUUCAAUACAAAAACCCGUUCAUGCCAGAGCACACUGGGUGUGAAGCCAAUGAGGGCAGUUGGGGACGCUUAUGAUUCAGUUGGUUUAGAAUAUUUAAACUGGGAGUAGGUUUAGAAA